AGAGUUUGAUCAUGGCUCAGAUUGAACGCUGGCGGAAUGCUUUACACAUGCAGGUCGAACGGCAGCACGGGAGCUUGCUCCUGGUGGCGAGUGGCGAACGGGUGAGUAAUAUAUCGGAACGUAUCCAAUAAUGGGGGAUAACUAAGCGAAAGCUUGGCUAAUACCGCAUACGCCCUGAGGGGGAAAGCUAGGGAUCUUCGGACCUGGCGUUGAUGGAGCGGCCGAUAUCUGAUUAGCUAGUUGGUGGGGUAAAGGCCCACCAAGGCGACGAUCAGUAGCUGGUCUGAGAGGACGACCAGCCACACUGGAACUGAGACACGGUCCAGACUCCUACGGGAGGCAGCAGUGGGGAAUUUUGGACAAUGGGCGCAAGCCUGAUCCAGCCAUUCCGCGUGAGUGAAGAAGGCCUUCGGGUUGUAAAGCUCUUUCGCAAGGGAAGAAAGAUUACGCUCUAACAUAGCGUGAUUAUGACGGUACCUUGAUAAGAAGCACCGGCUAACUACGUGCCAGCAGCCGCGGUAAUACGUAGGGUGCGAGCGUUAAUCGGAAUUACUGGGCGUAAAGCGUGCGCAGGCUGUUUUGUAAGUCAGAUGUGAAAUCCCCGAGCUCAACUUGGGAACUGCGUUUGAAACUACAAGACUAGAAUAUGUCAGAGGGGGGUAGAAUUCCACGUGUAGCAGUGAAAUGCGUAGAGAUGUGGAGGAAUAUCAAUGGCGAAGGCAGCCCCCUGUGAUAAUAUUGACGCUCAUGCACGAAAGCGUGUGGAGCAAACAGGAUUAGAUACCCUGGUAGUCCACGCC
Molecule: ribosomal RNA, 800 nt
Filed under: uncultured bacterium
Lineage: Bacteria
Description: bacterial SSU rRNA
Rfam family: Bacterial small subunit ribosomal RNA
Source: RNAcentral